CAUAUUUUAUAAAUCAUCUUCUGGAAUACCAGCUGGGACGCGAUCUUGAAGACAUGUGUACCUGGCGCAAAUGGCCGGAAGUAGACGAAAACGUUAGUUACAGCCCCUUUAUAAUCCGAGUCGCCGUAUACAAAAUCAACGGCUCCUCGGUUCGCUUUGGGGAAACAUCU
Molecule: small nucleolar RNA, 170 nt
Filed under: Lachancea thermotolerans CBS 6340
Lineage: Eukaryota; Fungi; Ascomycota; Saccharomycetes; Saccharomycetales; Saccharomycetaceae
Source: RNAcentral